UACGGGGGGAGCAAGCGUUGUUCGGAUUUACUGGGCGUAAAGGGCGCGUAGGCGGCCACCGCAAGUCGACUGUGAAAUCUCCGGGCUUAACCCGGAAAGGUCAGCCGAUACUGCGGGGCUAGAGUGCAGAAGGGGCAACUGGAAUUCUCGGUGUAGCGGUGAAAUGCGUAGAUAUCGAGAGGAACACCUGCGGCGAAGGCGGGUUGCUGGGCUGACACUGACGCUGAGACGCGAAAGCGUGGGGAGCAAACAGG
RNAcentral lists this ribosomal RNA (254 nucleotides) under uncultured bacterium. Its description in RNAcentral is "partial 16S ribosomal RNA". It matches the Rfam family "Bacterial small subunit ribosomal RNA", at positions 524 to 776 of the family's 1533-position model. The record is from RNAcentral.